GACGAACGCUGGCGGCGUGCCUAAUACAUGCAAGUAGAACGCACAGUUUAUACCGUAGCUUGCUACACCAUAGACUGUGAGUUGCGAACGGGUGAGUAACGCGUAGGUAACCUGCCUGGUAGCGGGGGAUAACUAUUGGAAACGAUAGCUAAUACCGCAUAAUAUUAAUUAUUGCAUGAUAAUUAAUUGAAAGGUGCAAUUGCACCACUACCAGAUGGACCUGCGUUGUAUUAGCUAGUAGGUGAGGUAACGGCUCACCUAGGCGACGAUACAUAGCCGACCUGAGAGGGUGAUCAGCCACACUGGGACUGAGACACGGCCCAGACUCCUACGGGAGGCAGCAGUAGGGAAUCUUCGGCAAUGGACGAAAGUCUGACCGAGCAACGCCGCGUCAGUGAAGAAGGUUUUCGGAUCGUAAAGCUCUGUUGUAAGAGAAGAACGGGUGUGAGAGUGGAAAGUUCACACUGUGACGGUAUCUUACCAGAAAGGGACGGCUAACUACGUG
Molecule: ribosomal RNA, 505 nt
Filed under: uncultured bacterium
Lineage: Bacteria
Description: partial 16S ribosomal RNA
Rfam family: Bacterial small subunit ribosomal RNA
Source: RNAcentral